This 508-nucleotide ribosomal RNA is filed under the name uncultured bacterium. Its description in RNAcentral is "partial 16S ribosomal RNA". It matches the Rfam family "Bacterial small subunit ribosomal RNA", at positions 28 to 507 of the family's 1533-position model. The record is from RNAcentral.
GACGAACGCUGGCGGCGUGCCUAAUACAUGCAAGUCGAACGCUUCUUUCCUCCCGAGUGCUUGCACUCAAUUGGAAAGAGGAGUGGCGGACGGGUGAGUAACACGUGGGUAACCUACCCAUCAGAGGGGGAUAACACUUGGAAACAGGUGCUAAUACCGCAUAACAGUUUAUGCCGCAUGGCAUAAGAGUGAAAGGCGCUUUCGGGUGUCGUUGAUGGAUGGACCCGCGGUGCAUUAGUUAGUUGGUGAGGUAACGGCUCACCAAGGCCACGAUGCAUAGCCGACCUGAGAGGGUGAUCGGCCACACUGGGACUGAGACACGGCCCAGACUCCUACGGGAGGCAGCAGUAGGGAAUCUUCGGCAAUGGACGAAAGUCUGACCGAGCAACGCCGCGUGAGUGAAGAAGGUUUUCGGAUCGUAAAACUCUGUUGUUAGAGAAGAACAAGGACGUUAGUAACUGAACGUCCCCUGACGGUAUCUAACCAGAAAGCCACGGCUAACUACGUG